This 813-nucleotide ribosomal RNA is filed under the name Blackwellomyces calendulinus. RNAcentral's name for it is "partial large subunit ribosomal RNA". It matches the Rfam family "Eukaryotic large subunit ribosomal RNA", at positions 114 to 958 of the family's 3401-position model. The record is from RNAcentral. Lineage: Eukaryota; Fungi; Ascomycota; Sordariomycetes; Hypocreales; Cordycipitaceae.
UUUGAAAUCUGGCCCCCCCGUACCGAGUUGUAAUUUGUAGAGGAUGCUUUUGGCGCGGCGCCUUCCGAGUUCCCUGGAACGGGACGCCAUAGAGGGUGAGAGCCCCGUCUGGUCGGAUGCCUAGCCUCUGUAAAGCUCCUUCGACGAGUCGAGUAGUUUGGGAAUGCUGCUCAAAAUGGGAGGUAUAUGUCUUCUAAAGCUAAAUAUUGGCCAGAGACCGAUAGCGCACAAGUAGAGUGAUCGAAAGAUGAAAAGCACUUUGAAAAGAGGGUUAAAAAGUACGUGAAAUUGUUGAAAGGGAAGCGCCUAUGACCAGACUUGGGCCCGGUGAAUCAUCCAGCGUUCUCGCUGGUGCACUUUGCCGGGCACAGGCCAGCAUCAGUUUGGCGCGGGGGACAAAGGCUCUGGGAAUGUGGCUCCCCCGGGAGUGUUAUAGCCCACUGCGCAAUACCCUGCGCCGGACUGAGGUACGCGCAUCGCAAGGAUGCUGGCGUAAUGGUCAUCAGCGACCCGUCUUGAAACACGGACCAAGGAGUCGUCUUCGUAUGCGAGUGUUCGGGUGUCAAACCCCUACGCGUAAUGAAAGUGAACGCAGGUGAGAGCUUCGGCGCAUCAUCGACCGAUCCUGAUGUUCUCGGAUGGAUUUGAGUAAGAGCAUACGGGGCCGGACCCGAAAGAAGGUGAACUAUGCCUGUAUAGGGUGAAGCCAGAGGAAACUCUGGUGGAGGCUCGCAGCGGUUCUGACGUGCGAAUCGAUCGUCAAAUAUGGGCAUGGGGGCGAAAGACUAAUCGAACCUUCUAGUAGCUGGUUUC